This 421-nucleotide ribosomal RNA is filed under the name uncultured bacterium. RNAcentral describes it as "bacterial SSU rRNA". It matches the Rfam family "Bacterial small subunit ribosomal RNA", at positions 355 to 774 of the family's 1533-position model. The record is from RNAcentral.
UAAGGAAUAUUGGUCAAUGGACGCAAGUCUGAACCAGCCAUGCCGCGUGAAGGAUGAAGGUCCUCUGGAUUGUAAACUUCUUUUAUCUGGGACGAAAACGGGAUUUUUAUCUCAAUUGACGGUACCAGAGGAAUAAGCACCGGCUAACUCCGUGCCAGCAGCCGCGGUAAUACGGAGGGUGCGAGCGUUAUCCGGAUUUACUGGGUUUAAAGGGUGCGUAGGUGGGCUUAUAAGUCAGUGGUGAAAUCUCCGAGCUUAACUUGGAAACUGCCGUUGAUACUAUAGGUCUUGAAUUAUCUGGAGGUUAGCGGAAUAUGUCAUGUAGCGGUGAAAUGCUUAGAUAUGACAUAGAACACCAAUUGCGAAGGCAGCUUACUACAGAUAAAUUGACGCUGAGGCACGAAAGCGUGGGGAUCAAACA